CGCACGCGUCGGGAGAGCGCGUGGACGCCGUUUUGCAGCAUGCAAAGCCGCGCAAGCUACGCCGCCGAAGGAGCAUACCCAAAACUCUCAGGUAAAAGGACCGAACGCGUCGG
This 113-nucleotide non-coding RNA is filed under the name unidentified. Its description in RNAcentral is "Candidatus Burkholderia Glycine sequence". The stretch from base 9 to 104 matches the Rfam family "Glycine riboswitch aptamer", at positions 10 to 85 of the family's 94-position model. From Rfam's summary of the family: This family represents the bacterial glycine riboswitch. Glycine riboswitches usually consist of two metabolite-binding aptamers domains with similar structures in tandem. The aptamers cooperatively bind glycine to regulate the expression of downstream genes. The record is from RNAcentral.